This 1461-nucleotide ribosomal RNA is filed under the name uncultured soil bacterium. Its description in RNAcentral is "16S ribosomal RNA". It matches the Rfam family "Bacterial small subunit ribosomal RNA". The record is from RNAcentral.
AGAGUUUGAUCAUGGCUCAGGAUGAACGCUGGCGGUCUGCUUAACACAUGCAAGUCGAACGGAGUAGAAAUACUUAGUGGCGGACGGGUGAGUAACGCGUGAGAAUCUGCCUUCAGGACGGAGACAACAGUUGGAAACGACUGCUAAGCCCCGAUGAACCGAAAGGGAAAAUAUUUAUAGCCUGAAGAUGAGCUCGCGUCCGAUUAGCUAGUUGGCGGAGUAAAAGCCCACCAAGGCGACGAUCGGUAGCUGGUCUGAGAGGACGAUCAGCCACACUGGGACUGAGACACGGCCCAGACUCCUACGGGAGGCAGCAGUGGGGAAUUUUCCGCAAUGGGCGAAAGCCUGACGGAGCAAGACCGCGUGGGGGAAGAAGGCUCUUGGGUUGUAAACCCCUUUUCUCUGGGAAGAAAGUUGUGAAAGCAACCUGACGGUACCAGAGGAAUCAGCAUCGGCUAACUCCGCGCCAGCAGCCGCGGUAAGACGGAGGAUGCAAGCGUUAUCCGGAAUGAUUGGGCGUAAAGCGUCCGCAGGUGGCAGUUCAAGUCUGCUGUCAAAGACCGGGGCUUAACUUCGGAGAGGCAGUGGAAACUGAACAGCUAGAGUAUGGUAGGGGCAGAGGGAAUUCCUGGUGUAGCGGUGAAAUGCGUAGAGAUCAGGAAGAACAUCGGUGGCGAAGGCGCUCUGCUGGACCAUAACUGACACUCAGGGACGAAAGCUAGGGGAGCGAAUGGGAUUAGAUACCCCAGUAGUCCUAGCCGUAAACGAUGGAUACUAGGUGUUGUCUGUAUCGACCCGGACAGUGCCGUAGCUAACGCGUUAAGUAUCCCGCCUGGGGAGUACGCACGCAAGUGUGAAACUCAAAGGAAUUGGCGGGGGCCCGCACAAGCGGUGGAGUAUGUGGUUUAAUUCGAUGCAACGCGAAGAACCUUACCAGGACUUGACAUGUCGCGAAUCCUCUGGAAACAGAGGAGUGCCUUCGGGAGCGCGAACACAGGUGGUGCAUGGCUGUCGUCAGCUCGUGUCGUGAGAUGUUGGGUUAAGUCCCGCAACGAGCGCAACCCUCGUGUUUAGUUGCCAUCAUUAAGUUGGGCACUCUAAACAGACUGCCGGUGACAAACCGGAGGAAGGUGGGGAUGACGUCAAGUCAGCAUGCCCCUUACGUCCUGGGCUACACACGUACUACAAUGGUAGGGACAGAGGGCAGCCAACCCGCGAGGGCGAGCUAAUCCCGUAAACCCUGCCUCAGUUCAGAUUGCAGGCUGCAACUCGCCUGCAUGAAGGCGGAAUUGCUAGUAAUCGCAGGUCAGCAUACUGCGGUGAAUCCGUUUCCGGGCCUUGUACACACCGCCCGUCACACCAUGGAAGUUGGCCACGCCCGAAGUCAUUACUCUAACCUUUCGAGGAGGAGGAUGCCGAAGGCAGGGCUGAUGACUGGGGUGAAGUCGUAACAAGGUAACC